GGCUAAUCUGCCCUUAGGACGAGAACAACCCCGGGAAACUGGGGCUAACUCUUGAUAGGCGAAGAACUCUGGAAUGAGUCUUUACCUAAAUAGAUUCACGUUAUCCUCGUGAACCUGCCUAAGGAUGAGGCCGCGACCGAUCAGGUUGUUGGCGAGGUAAUGGCUCACCAAGCCUUUUACCGGUGCGGGCCGUGGGAGCGGGAGCCCGGAGAUGGGUACUGAGACAAGGACCCAGGCCCUACGGGGCGCAGCAGUCGCGAAACCUUUGCAAUAAGCGAAAGCUUGACAGGGCUAUCCCGAGUGCCAUCCGCUGAGGAAGGCUUUUACCCAGUCUAGAACGCUGGGGGAAUAAGGAGAGGGCAAGUCUGGUGUCAGCCGCCGCGGUAAUACCAGCUCUCCGAGUGGUGUGGAUGUUUAUUGGGCCUAAAGCAUCCGUAGCUGGCUAGGUAAGUCCCUUGUUAAAUCCACCGAAUUAAUCGUUGGAUCGCGGGGGAUACUACUUGGCUAGGGGACGAGAGAGGCAGACGGUAUUUUCGGGGUAGGGGUGAAAUCCUAUAAUCCCGGGAAGACCACCAGUGGCGAAGGCUGUCUGCUAGAACGCGCCCGACGGUGAGGGAUGAAAGCUGGGGGAGCGAACCGGAUUAGAUACCCGGGUAGUCCCAGCUGUAAACGAUGCANACUAGGUGUUUGGACGGNCACGUGCCGUUCUAGUGCCGCAGGGAAGCUGUUAANUCUGCCGCCUGGGGAGUACCAUCGCAAGAUUGAAACUUAA
RNAcentral lists this ribosomal RNA (772 nucleotides) under uncultured archaeon. RNAcentral describes it as "bacterial SSU rRNA". It matches the Rfam family "Archaeal small subunit ribosomal RNA", at positions 102 to 859 of the family's 1478-position model. The record is from RNAcentral.